Molecule: ribosomal RNA, 250 nt
Filed under: uncultured bacterium
Lineage: Bacteria
Description: partial 16S ribosomal RNA
Rfam family: Bacterial small subunit ribosomal RNA
Source: RNAcentral
UAAGGAAUAUUGGUCAAUGGACGAAAGUCUGAACCAGCCAUGCCGCGUGAAGGAUGAAGGUCCUCUGGAUUGUAAACUUCUUUUAUCUGGGACGAAAAAAGGGCUUUCUAGCUCACUUGACGGUACCAGAGGAAUAAGCACCGGCUAACUCCGUGCCAGCAGCCGCGGUAAUACGGAGGGUGCAAGCGUUAUCCGGAUUUACUGGGUUUAAAGGGAGCGUAGGUGGGCAGGUAAGUCAGUGGUGAAAUCU